AGGAGAAAAGCAUGCCAGUAUUCAUUUGCAUGUUUCAAAUAUUAAACCAUACACGUCUUAGUACAAGCUGAAUUAAAGUGAAUCCACGAUGGUUCACUAAAUCAGUUAUGGUUCCUCAAAUCGUACCCAAACCUUCUUGGACAACUGUGGUGAUUUUAGAACUAUUUCAUACAAACGAAAUUCCUCUCAGGAACGGAAUGAAUGCUUUUACUAGAUCAAAACUAAUCCAUGGACGUCUCGCUGUCUGUCCGUCGUUUGUUUUUGUGACUCUGAAUAACGUUAUGCCGAUCGCAUGAUCAUCCAGCACUGGGGAAGUAUCUUCUAUAUGCCUGCAUUACCAAUGGUCACUGGUAUAUUCUGCCCCUACCAUUGUUGUAACGGUAACGGGUAAUUAGGUUUCGAUUCCGGGGAGGGAGCCUGAGAAGCAGCUACCACAAGGAAGACUGCAGGCGCACCAAUUACCCAACCCCUACACGGGGAUACAGUGAUAAAAGGUAACGUUACGUAAUUUAUCCGAGGUCUCAUAAUUGGAAUGAGUUCACUUUAAAUAAUUGUACGAGGACCAAUUGGAGGGCAAGUCUGGUUCUAUCGGCCGCCGUAGUUCCAGUUCCGCUAUCAUAUAUUAAAGUUGUUGAGUGUCAAAAGCUCGUAGUAGGAUCUGUGUGUCACAGUUUCGGUUCACCUCUCACGGUGUUUAUCUGGCAUUAUGUGAUUCUUCCUCUCGGUGAGUUAAGCUCCUUGCGGACAGUCCAACUCAUCUCUCAUUGCGGUGUUUAUCCCUGAAUGUCGAGGUGGGUCAAUAUGUUUAAUUGGAAUAUAUUAUAGAGCUUUGUGGAGGCUACAUUCGCUAGACUACUUCGUGAGUGAUAUAAUGGAAUCGGAAUUCGGAUUCAUUUUGUUGGUACGCGGAGACACGAGGUAACGAUUAAUAGGGACGGGUCAUUCGUAUUGCGUAGUUACAGGUAACAUUCCUUGGUCGUCGCGAGACGGAUAGAAGCGAAAGCAUUUGCCAAAAAUGUUUUCAUUAAUUAAGAACUAAAGUUAGAGUUUCGUAGACGAAAAGAUUCCACUCUAAUUCCAAUAAUAAGCGAUGCCAGGCAGCAAAACAACGAAUUUCUUUAGAUGACUCAGCGGGCAGCUACUGGGUGUACCGCUUUUGUAAAGCUUUUGUGGAAAUAUGGAUGCAAAGCUGAAACAUAAAGGAAUUGACCGAAGGAUACAGCCAUGGGUGGAGUCUGUGGCUAAAUUUGACUGAACACGGAAAACGUCUACAUGCUCGGACCGGGAGGAUUGACAAAUCGACAGAUUGAUAGCUCUUUUUUGAUACUGUUAAGACAGUUAAUUUAGUAACACUUAGUGAAAACUUAGUUAAGACAGUUAGUUUAGUUAAGACACUUAAUUUAGGUGAGCUUGCGGAAUGAUCAUUUACGAAUGAACAGAGCAAAGUUUAGCAAAACGCAUUACGUCCAAACUAAAUGAAUUGACUGAAAAAAGAAGCAAAGUAUUCAAAACAUUAAACCAGAAUUUGUCGAAAAGUCGCAGACCAUGAAAAUGACGGUUACCAUGUGGAGUUCCGAGAUCUCCCGUCCGUUGUUCUACUGGCAACUCGAACUGUUGAAGACCACGAAUCUACGGCUAAGUACAAGAGGUCCGAGAUUUCCCGUCCUUUGCUCCACUGGCAACUCAGACUGAGGAAGACCACGGAAUUGUCCGCUAACUAUCGGAGGUACAAGACGUCCACUCCGUUGUUCUAUUGGCAAACGUUGGAAAGGAGAGUAA
This 1779-nucleotide ribosomal RNA is filed under the name Lepidotrigona ventralis hoosana. RNAcentral describes it as "bacterial SSU rRNA". It matches the Rfam family "Eukaryotic small subunit ribosomal RNA", at positions 1 to 1408 of the family's 1831-position model. Lineage: Eukaryota; Metazoa; Arthropoda; Insecta; Hymenoptera; Apidae. The record is from RNAcentral.